RNAcentral lists this ribosomal RNA (402 nucleotides) under bacterium. Its description in RNAcentral is "partial 16S ribosomal RNA". It matches the Rfam family "Bacterial small subunit ribosomal RNA", at positions 355 to 776 of the family's 1533-position model. RNAcentral also lists the same sequence under 3 other names. The record is from RNAcentral.
UGGGGAAUUUUGCACAAUGGGGGAAACCCUGAUGCAGCGACGCCGCGUGAUUUAGAAGGCCUUCGGGUUGUAAAAAUCUUUUUUACGGGAUGAAAAUGACAGUACCGUAAGAAUAAGGUCCGGCUAAAUACGUGCCAGCAGCCGCGGUAAUACGUAUGGACCGAGCGUUGUCCGGAAUCAUUGGGCGUAAAGGGUACGUAGGCGGCCUAGUAAGUUAGAAGUGAAAGAAUAUAGCUCAACUAUAUAAAGCUUUUAAAACUGUUAGGCUUGAGAGAUGAAAGGGAAAGUGGAAUUCCUAGUGUAGCGGUGAAAUGCGCAGAUAUUAGGAAGAAUACCGGUGGCGAAGGCGACUUUCUGGUCAUCAUCUGACGCUGAGGUACGAAAGCGUGGGUAGCAAACAGG